CCUACGGGGCGCAGCAGUGGGGAAUAUUGCGCAAUGGGCGAAAGCCUGACGCAGCGACGCCGCGUGAGGGAUGAAGGUCUUCGGAUCGUAAACCUCUGUCAGCAGGGAAGAACGGUCACUGUGCUAAUCAGCAGUGAAUUGACGGUACCUGCAAAGGAAGCACCGGCUAACUCCGUGCCAGCAGCCGCGGUAAUACGGAGGGUGCGAGCGUUAAUCGGAAUUACUGGGCGUAAGGCGCUCGUAGGCGGUAUGUCAAGUAAAGGGGGAAAUCCCCGGGGUCAAUGUGGGAACGGCAUUUGAAACUGGCAAACUGGAGUGUGUGAGAGGAGAGUGGAAUUCCAGGUGUAGGAGUGAAAUCCGGAGAUAUCUGGAGGAACAUCAGUGGCGAAGGCGACUAUCUGGCACAUAACUGACGCUGAGGAGCGAAAGCGUGGGUAGCAAACAGGAUUAGAUACCCGAGUAGUC
Molecule: ribosomal RNA, 465 nt
Filed under: uncultured bacterium
Lineage: Bacteria
Description: partial 16S ribosomal RNA
Rfam family: Bacterial small subunit ribosomal RNA
Source: RNAcentral